GAAUAUUGGACAAUGGGCGAAAGCCUGAUCCAGCCAUGCCGCGUGUGUGAAGAAGGUCUUCGGAUUGUAAAGCACUUUAAGUUGGGAGGAAGGGCAGUAAGCGAAUACCUUGCUGUUUUGACGUUACCGACAGAAUAAGCACCGGCUAACUCUGUGCCAGCAGCCGCGGUAAUACAGAGGGUGCAAGCGUUAAUCGGAAUUACUGGGCGUAAAGCGUGCGCAGGCGGUUUUGUAAGACAGAGGUGAAAUCCCCGGGCUCAACCUGGGAACUGCUUUCAAAACUGGCAAGCUAGAGUAUGGCAGAGGGUGGUGGAAUUUCCUGUGUAGCGGUGAAAUGCGUAGAUAUAGGAAGGAACACCAGUGGCGAAGGCGACCACCUGGGCUCAUACUGACACUGAGGUGCGAAAGCGUGGGGAGCAAACAGG
RNAcentral lists this ribosomal RNA (425 nucleotides) under uncultured bacterium. RNAcentral describes it as "bacterial SSU rRNA". It matches the Rfam family "Bacterial small subunit ribosomal RNA", at positions 359 to 776 of the family's 1533-position model. The record is from RNAcentral.